This is an RNA transcript of Olea europaea var. sylvestris, 843 nucleotides long. It is a transcript of the gene named protein NUCLEAR FUSION DEFECTIVE 6, chloroplastic/mitochondrial, with no coding region annotated. NCBI's taxonomy places the organism in Eukaryota, Viridiplantae, Streptophyta, Magnoliopsida, Lamiales, Oleaceae. The transcript has 5 exons. The record is from RefSeq and is a predicted model, not a curated record.
AACUUCAAUCCCUCAAAACCAUAAACCCGAGGUUCGACUUCGACUCAUCCCCAGGCCCAAAAUAUCAGGUUUUAUCACACCCUCGAUCGACUCCUAGUCUCUAUAUUUUCCUGUCAGCAAUGGCUUCGAAGUGCAGCCGAAUCAUUAACAGAGCUACCAUUUCAACUCUCAGAUCCGCCUUGAAGAAAUCAAAUUCCCCUUCUGCCACGACGUCGUUUCCUAAACCAUCUCUCCCUUCAAAACCCUCGCCUUCAAUCUGGAGGUGUCCGGCCGGACUGGGAUGCGUGGCGUCAAUGCUGCCGCUGCAUAGCGCAGUCGCUACGGCUAGGAUGACGUCAUGCCUGAGCUCAACAUCGAGGAGUUGCAGGGCUCUUUCUCAGGGCACAUGAGUUUCCAAAUGCUUGAAAGAAAUACCAGAAUUUUACAAGAUGAAAUUGAUGGAACGUGAAACACUUUUCCCAAGAGCUAGGCAUUUCAGUUCCAAGGUGACUUUAUUAGCAGACUCUCAGAGAUUUAUCUUCAUGUGAAUGGCAAAAAGGAGGUUCUAUUUAUUCCAGCUUAUACCUUCAAUUUCUUAAACUUCGCUUGGAGUUUCCAAAGCAUUAUAAUUGAGUUUGAUUAUUGUAUUAAUAAUGAACAAAUUUUGUCUCAUUUUAAUUGCUGGAAGUGGCCUUCUUGUCCAUGUUCUGGAGGUUGCCUCAUUGAGAUUUUGGUUUUAGUUAGUAUCGAAAUUUAAAUGGGCAUAUCCCUUGGGAUUUUUACCUUUUGUCGAUUUUCAUCUGUAAAUCAAUUCUUCAGAUUUGGGUUGUUGAGAAAUAAUGAUCAAUAACAUUGCAUAGUGAA